GGAUGAAUGUGUCUGUUGAUGAUAAUUUUGACUCUGGGUGGUGUUGUUAAAUGAAAAGAACAAAUUGGAACUAAAGGUUUAAAUCUUUAGUUUAAUAUUAUUCCCAGUCUUAUGUUUAAAUCUCAAAGGACAACAUUUAAUGUUGACUAAUACAGGAUUGUCUCCCAGUCAACCAUACAUGCAUGAUUUUUAGAUAUCAUCUCCCAGUCAGCUAUAAAUCAGUGACUUUUCAAUAGUGGACAGAGGGGCUCUAUCACUUUAAUCUCCAUUUGUUAUGGAACAAAAAAGUUAAACCAGCAAAAUAAUUUCACCAGCACGAACCAAUUGGCUGUCCUUUAAGACAUUGGACGAUCCAAAUUAAGGCUUUUACUGGUGCGAACUGCAGCCCCAUAACCAUCAAGCGGCAUACUCAAGGGCUUCAAAAAAAAAGGGGCUUCAAAGGCCUUGUUUCCUUGAAUGCCACAGAACACUGAAAAGUGGAAGAAAGUUUUAUUCUCAGAUGAAAAAAAAAUUAACCGUGAUUGUCCUGAUGGUUUCCAACGUUACAUGAUGUUCCCAGAGAUGUAAACAUGCAGAACACUUUAGAUCUACAACAGAUAAAACUAAAUUCUUUCAAUAAGGCCACGUGGCACUAUAAGAUUAAAAUGCCAGUUAAUAACCCCCCCCACAAAAAAAAAAAAAAAGGAUUACGUGCAUUAAUCUACUUUAAUUAUCAAAAUUGUUUGUCUGCUCUCAAAGAAACAGGGGUUACACAGUAAAUAAGGAAACUGGUCACAACCAAACUCUCAAAAUAAUUCUGGGAAAUCUCCUACAUUGGGUUCGUUCCUCCGUCCCUGCCCUUUCAUUUUUCCUGCGAUUCUGGAAGUGUUUGUGUUUUCAAACCAUAUGCACUCCAUGUCUUCAAGCACCCAGCAGUUCCCAUGUCACACUCAAACGUGGAACUCAUUCAACAAGUAUUAGUUACGUCUUUAAGAUGGCAACGCAAACUAAGGAGAAGAGCUCUGGUAAAUCUUAACAGAGAACUUGAUAUAUAAGUUAAAAUACUGCUUUAUCUAUCAGUCUGGUAAAUCAUUUAUUAUGCUAAAAUCAACAC
Molecule: long non-coding RNA, 1093 nt
Organism: Astatotilapia calliptera (eastern happy)
Lineage: Eukaryota; Metazoa; Chordata; Actinopteri; Cichliformes; Cichlidae
Source: Ensembl